This 2490-nucleotide long non-coding RNA is filed under the name Zostera marina. RNAcentral's name for it is "long non-coding RNA (ZMAR_LNC000910)". The record is from RNAcentral. Lineage: Eukaryota; Viridiplantae; Streptophyta; Magnoliopsida; Alismatales; Zosteraceae.
CGACGAUUCGACGGUGGUGUGCAGUAGUCCUCGUCGUCAUCGCAGGAGAGGUCUAUGACCUCUCUUUCACGUAGAAUGCGACGUUGUCGAUGACGCGCGUAGUCCGUCGCUGUUAGUCGAGCAUCCACGAGUCUCUAGUUUUGGCCUAAAAGAAUAGCCGAUCAGAUAGCGCUGGAGUUGAAGACAGUGAAGAGAAGAAAAAUUGGAAUGUUGGAGAGUUAGGGUUUAUAUAAGCGAAUGGACUUGAUUUUGUGGAUAAAGAAUUGCAGUCUCGGGCGGCAUUUCAUAUGACCUUUAACUUACAACUAACUCAAUUAAUCAAACAUAAAUACUGUGUUAUUGGGCCUACGUCCUCCAACAUCUUGCGUUCAACUGCAACCUAUUCAGAUAAGUAGACAUUAAAUCUUAUUCAGAUCAUGGACAAAUCUCGGAUCAACGACAUUAAUAAAAAUAAAUCUACUCACCUUUUUUCUUUGAAUACUUCCUUCCUGUCUUAGUAAGAAUAUACUCUAGUCAUGCUUGGAUCAUCUCUUCGAAAGUUUUAUUAGUCUGUUCUCCGUCGUUGUGUUAUGGCAAACAACUGGGAAUCCAAUAAGUCUGUGAACCCUAAUACUAACUCGCAAAUAGAAAAUAAGAUAACGUGUUACCCUAAAAGCGUAACCCUAUAAUCCGAAAAACAGCAAAACCUAUGGUUGGAACAAAUCAUGACCCGAAUUUACCUCUUGGCUAGCGCAUAUCUCCCCCAUGGAAGAAGCAAUAAACUGUAAUCUCUAAUUCGUAAAUGUUCUAACUAAAUAGGAAGAUGGAUUGACAGAAAUAUAUUUAAAUUCAAAUAAGAAGAGUAGAAAGUACCAAGUGGAAAACCAACCUAAGUGAUUGAAUAUAUUUAAAGUUCCAAGAUCUUCUGUAGUAGACUUUUUCAGGGACCAGAGGAAUGUGACUGAGUAAAACAGAUCUCGGUUCUUUUGGCGUCAAACGGACGACGUCCUCGAAUCUGUCAUAUGAAAUCGUUCUGUAUACUGCGGAGGGUAGGAGAGGUAGUCAAUCAGUUAUAAUAUGCAGUAGAAGACCAUAAGCCAAUCUUAUAGACCUAAAAACUCUUCCAGGUUACAGUGGUUUUGGGCAAAUUUACAGCCCCACUGGGAAGAAGCUUAUGGCCCUAAUUUGUACAGCCCAACUGGGAAGAAGCUUAUGGCCCUAAUUUGUACAGCCUAACUGGGAAGAAGCUUAUGACCCUAAUUUGUACAGCCCGACUGGGAAGAAUCUUAUGUGAACCCUAAUUACCCUAACCCGGGAGUAACCUAAUUGGUACAUUGAUUGAAUCGAAGUUAAUAUAGGCAAAGUCAAGCGAAGUUAAUUGAACAAAUGAACCAAUCGGAAACCAAAAACACGAUGAACAUACCUGUUGGAACCCAACCCAAUUGGAAUUCAAUGGGAAACCAAAAACACGAACAAAUGAAGAAACCCAUCGGAACAAAUGAAGAAACCUAUCGAUAGCCAAUCGGAACUCAAAAACUCGAUGAACAAACUUAUCGGAACCCAAACCAAUCGGAACCCAACCUAACAGGAUGAACAAACCUAUUGGAACCCAACCCAACACAUUCUAUGAACAAACUUAUCCUAACCCAAAUCCCGACGACGUCGACGAGACGAAAGAAGAACAAGGAAAUACGACGGCACACCCUAUACCAAAAACACGAUUGACAGACAAUCCAAUCGAGAAUCCAAAAACACGAUGAACAUAACUAAUCCGAACACAAUCGAGAACCCAAAACCACGGUGAACGACCCUAUUGAAACACGACACAGUCGGAACCCAAUCAAGAACCAAAAAACACGAUGAACAAUCUGUCGGAACGCACCUUGUCAGAAGCCAAUCGGAACCCAAAAAAAUCUAUAAACAAACCUAUCCGAACCCAAAACCCGCCGACGUCGAUGAAAAGAAUAUUUAUGAAAAGCAUAUGAAUAGCCUCUAUACCUAUAUACGACGGCACACCCUAUACCAAAAAUACGAUUGACAGGCAAUCCAAUCGAGAACCCAAAAAUACGAUGAACAUAACUAAUCCGAACACAAUCGAGAACCCAAAACCACGAUGAACGACCCUAUUGAAACACGACACAGUCGGAACCCAAUCAAGAACCAAAAAACACGAUGAACAAUCUAUCGGAACGCACCUUGUCGGAAGCUAAUUGGAACCCAAAAAAAUCUAUGAACAAACCUAUUCGAACCCAAAACCCGCCGAUGUCAUUCAGAAAAUAUUUAUGAAUAGCCUCUAUACUUAUGAAUAGUCUCUAUAGCUGUAACCUAUAGACUCUAUAUAGCUAUAACCUAUGAAUUAUACAAAACGUAUAGUAUUUUACACCACUAAUGACGCUACUUAAUUAAAAGUGAGAAAAUUAUCAUCUCAAGCGAAGUUCUCACGGUCCUCUCACCUGAUAUGAAUUGUUCAAAUAUAAGGGAAAAUUGUAAAAACGGUGUAUGUUGUAAAUG